AUUUCUUUGGCUCAGUUGGUAGAGCAUGGUGUUUGCAACGCCAGGGUUGUGGGUUCGAUUCCCACGGGGGACC
RNAcentral lists this transfer RNA (73 nucleotides) under Salmo salar (Atlantic salmon). It matches the Rfam family "tRNA". From Rfam's summary of the family: Transfer RNA (tRNA) molecules are approximately 80 nucleotides in length. Lineage: Eukaryota; Metazoa; Chordata; Actinopteri; Salmoniformes; Salmonidae. The record is from Rfam by way of RNAcentral.